UGUAUGACAACUAAAACAAAAUGGGCAAAUAGCCCAAUAACAUUAAUAUGGCCGGCCAUCAGGGUGAAUGGGCAAGCUUUGAUUAAUUACAAGUUUGCCACUCACUUGAAAUGAAGUAUAAAAUGAACUUUAUAGCUUUAUUUCUCAUAAGGGUUUUUCUUGGUGAAAUGAGGUGAAACACUUUCUCUCAUUUUCUCUAAAGAGGCCGGCCACUUAGAGAGAUUAAUCUAGCAAUCUUUUCUUCUCUAAGUCAUCCAUUUUGUCUUCACACUUAACCCUUGGUGUGGAGACUUAGAGACACCAAAUCUUUGGUGUUUUUGGAGAUCCCUUCCUUACAUCCUCAAGGACCAAAGGAGCACAAAAGGAGAAGGAAAUCACAAGCAAUAUCCAAGGAGCUAGGAGGUGACUUGAAGG
Molecule: long non-coding RNA, 414 nt
Filed under: Malus domestica (apple)
Lineage: Eukaryota; Viridiplantae; Streptophyta; Magnoliopsida; Rosales; Rosaceae
Description: long non-coding RNA (MDOM_LNC017098)
Source: RNAcentral